Molecule: long non-coding RNA, 1160 nt
Organism: Mangifera indica (mango)
Lineage: Eukaryota; Viridiplantae; Streptophyta; Magnoliopsida; Sapindales; Anacardiaceae
Exons: 5
Source: RefSeq, a predicted model, not a curated record
UAAUAGGGGAAAAGUUUCCUUCAAUGGUCACCGGUUGAAUGAAUUUGUUCCCUAGAAAACGUCAGCUUAUAUAAGCCAAGAAGAUAUGCAUGUUGCUGUGAUGACUGAGAGAAAUACUUGAAUUUGCUGCCCAAUGUCUUGGUGUUGGAAACUGAGGAAAUAUGAUGACGGAAUUCAGUAAAAGAGAGGGAUGGCACUGCUCCGGACCCAGAUGUAGAUGCUUACACAAAGGCAUCUUCAGCAUACUUAUCUUGUUUAUAUCAGAUGUAUUGUUGCAUAUGAAGUUGCUACGUGUAUGAAAUAUUCAUGACAUGGGCAUGCCUUACUAUGUCAUUGGGUAAAGUCCUGAGGUCAAGAGCCUCCAUGCCAGUGUGGUUGAAGUGGGGUUUUUGGGUUUUCCCUCUUUCAAAUAGGGAGAUAGGCCUUUCAGUAAAUGAAUUUCUUGCUCCUCGGUGGCAAAAGAUGGUUGUUUUACCAAUGGUAGUGUUUGUGCUGCCCAAAAGCACUACCAUUGGGUACUUGGAAGCCAUGGAUUAUUAAACUUUGAUGAAUCUUAUUUCUUGCUAGCACUGGGCCUUGUUUGGCUUGGCUUUACUUUUCAACAUUGGCUUUAUCUUGACCUUAGGUUUGUUGAAGCGUAAGUUCAUCCUGUUAUCAUAUAUUAACUUAAGAAGAAACAAUGCUACUCAAGUUUGUUCACCCAGUAAAAUUCAAAUGCAGCCCCCUGAUCAUCUUGUGCGAUGAUUUUGCAAGAAACGAAGGGCAAGAUACAAGGAAGUCAAGAAUCCAUUGAUGGUAAACUUGUGAAAGAAAAGUCUAGGAGUACUCCCACGAAGGAGAAGAAGAAAUUCCCAACUGCUUUCUGAUAUUCUGUGGGAUUAAGGCCUGGUGCGCUUACAGCAUUGAUGGGUGUUAGUAAAGCUGGAAAAUCCACUCUUCUAUGUUUUGGCCAUACGAUGUUGUGUUGAUAACAUACUUGUUCUUCUUGCUUUAAUCUCUUGUGAAAAAAUCGGUAAGGGCUUGUUAGUACUGAGUGCUCUGUGCUCAUUCUCCUGGAUUUAGAGUGGCCAACAAAUGAAAGCUCUUUUCUUUUAUUCAGUCAAUGAAAACUCUUGAACAUUUUCAUAACAGAAGUAAAAUUGAGUAGUUCAUUAAUGAGA